GACGAACGCUGGCGGCGUGCUUAACACAUGCAAGUCGAACGGAAAGGCCCUGCGUUUGUGGGGUUCUCGAGUGGCGAACGGGGGAGUAACACGUGAGUAACCUGCCCUUGUCUUUGGGGUAACUUCAGGAAACUGGGGCGAAUACCGCAGAGGAUCUCCUGCUGCAUGGGGUUGGUUGGAGAGUGUCGGCGGUUGUGGCUGGACUCGCGGCUUAUCAGCUUGUUGGUGUGGUAGUGGCUUACCAAGGCUUUGACGGGUAGCCGGCCUGAGAGGGUAAACGGGCACAAUGGGACUGCGAUAGGGAGCAGAAGGGUACGGGCGGCAGCAGUGGGGAAUAUUGCACAAUGGGCGGAAGCCUGAUGUAGAAAUGCCGCGUGCGGGAUGACGGCUUUCGGGUUGUAAACAGAUUUGGCAUGUGACGAAGCGUGCGUGACGGUAAUGGGUCAAGAAGCAACGGCUAACUACGUG
This 468-nucleotide ribosomal RNA is filed under the name uncultured bacterium. Its description in RNAcentral is "partial 16S ribosomal RNA". It matches the Rfam family "Bacterial small subunit ribosomal RNA", at positions 28 to 507 of the family's 1533-position model. The record is from RNAcentral.